GAGGUUUCUGUCAACAGUGAGAGGAAUAGUGAAGAAAUGCCUUUCUCCAUUUUGCUCUAAUUCUCCCUUGGUCCCGGCACUACGAUUGUUGCAUCCCUCCACAUCUCCUAAGCACACGGAAGACUAGAUGACGUCCUUUGGGGAGUGCGCAUUCUGAGAAAACUUACAUGAAGCAUCUAUAACCGCGCCCAGCUUAAGAUAAGGCACACCUCGUUUCACCUCUUUGUGCUUCUGCACAGAAAAUCAGACCUUCUGUUGCAAGAUGGCCCUAAGGAUUUGACAUUGAUCACCAUCAUAGAAUUGGAACUUACAAAUAUUUUUCUCUUGGUAACACUCUGCAGAUGGUUAAGAGCCAGCACGUGGUUGCUGGGGAUUGAACUCAGGACACUGUAGCUAACCAUUGUCGGUAACUCCAGUUCCCGGAACUCCAGCACUGUCUCUGCCCUCCAUGGGCAGCCCACAUGCGAGUGAUGCACACAUACAUACAAGUAAAGCACCCGCAUAGACAGCAAAACUUUGAAGAAAGAUAAUUUGUUUCCAGCAAAUCUGGACUAUAAGAAUGUCUGACAAACAACUUAAAUCAAGAAAGAGAGUUUGUUCACCUCCUGACAGACAAGAGAUGGGGAGGUGCAGAAGAAAGAGAGAAGAACAGAGAGGAAGAGAGGGGAGGGAAAAAGGAGAGGAAAGCAGUCUGGGGCAAGAAAGAUCCAAGGACCCACUGUAGUGACUUACUUCCUUCAGCUGCAAAGUGGCUAUAAGUUUCAAGUGGUCCCUGAAAGAACACCUCAGCUGGACUCAACCCCUCAAAUCACAAGCCUUUUGGAAGACCAGUUCACAUCCAAACUGAACAGUACAUUUCCUAGAACACCAAAGUCUCAUGUGCGUCUCACAAGGUAAUAUUUGGUAUACCAAGGGUUCCCAAAGCCUUAUCAGUUCAAACAUUGUUGACAAUUUAGGUUCAAUUAAGAUCUGAGACUCAAGGCAAAUUUUUACUCUUAGGCUCUAUAAAAUAAAACAAGCGGUUUUAGGCUCAUGCACAAUGAAAAUGGAUCUAGAUUCACUAUUCCUCUGCUUGAAAAAUGCCUGCAAAAUUCCAUCACUCCUUCGCAGGGACCACUUUGGGUCUCUAAGGGAGAAGGUUUCAGACCCUUGGGGGCUAAGAUAUACGUCCAAGGAGUUCUUGGGGCCUUGUAUCAACGAUUAAAGUCUGCAAAAAAUUUAUUACAAGCAGAUGUUCUGACGAUGGAAAGGAAGAGGGUUCCCUGGGAGCUCUGAAGGGUCUUUGAUCUCGAUCAUGAAUGAAAAAGUAGCAAAGGUCACAGAAAAGGCCAUUCUUUCAGUGACACAAGAGGAAUACCAUUGCAUGUCACAAAAACACGUGAGCAUGCUGAUUGAUGAAUUGCAGACAGCUAUCAAAAGCAACAGAGGUCAUCUCGCUAAGCUUGGCCCCCAAUUACAGGCUGAGCAGGAGCAGUUCUCCUCUUAUGUCUGCCAACACAUUAAAAGCCUUCCAGCAAACAGUGUGGUCCCAAGAGGCCUGCAACUCAAGAAUCCACCAGCAGCUUCAAGCUUCCUCCAUCAGUUCACGAGGCCUCCAUUUUUCUUCAGCCCGGAUUUUCGAUCAGCAUGGUCAAGAGAUUAAGAGUCCACUGCAGCUGAAGAAUGGGCAAAAAAUAAAAUGGGCUCUCUUAUGGGAAAGCAUACAGGUGGAUCCCAAUAUCAUUCUUUAUGCUUCUGUUUCCAUCAGAAAUUACCGUUCCUUAAGGAGUGAAGUGAACAGCAGGAAUCCAACAGUGUCCUGGCCUGCAGCCAGCAUGUGGCUGAUCACCAAGGGACUGACUGAGGGUUUGACACCGAUGUCCUGGGAAGUAAACCUUAUACUUUGGCAUUGACCUGCAUCUCGGAGUCUCACUUGGGGGUAUCUUGAAACAUGAAGGAGAUGAGCCAGAAGUGAAUCUUUGGAACAGAAGGCUAUAUUUAUUCUAAGAAACACAAAGCUGCCUGAGUGUUUCAGGGCCUGAGGGAGUCCAUCGGUCUCUCAGGAAAGUGAAGACCCCAGGAGCCCCAGGAGCCACAGACUCUAAACUGAAAAACCCACGAUUUUCAGCUAAGCCAGGCCGACUCCAUGGUUUUCUGCAUGGCAUGAGUUGGAAAAUAUGAGGUUUAUCCCCAGUUUGCCCUGACUUACCUGGAGGAAUUAACUGCUCAAGUGGAUGUGAGCCAGACAGAGGACAACAUUCCGCUUGGAGCCUGGACCACCACUCAUCAAGAACAGUGUGUGGAAGAGGUCGGUGUGAGAGACAGAGGGUUUGCAGAAACACAUUAGUUCUUUACUGAAGCAGCUGCCAGAGUCCUGAAACACUUAUGUCCUGCCAGAAGGCUCUCCUGAGGGGACAGAGAGACUUUCAGUGCUGCUGCUGAGGAAACUGGAAGGGAAACAUCCCAGGGCUCCUGCUCAGAGAAUCUAAACCGCAUGACGGGAAAGAAGAUAUCGACCUUUUCAUCUCUGCAGGGUGCACGCAGCACCUGAAACAUCGCCUAGCUCAAACACUAAAACCUACUGCACAUCGCUGAGUGAACCAGUUAUCAGACCCAGCCAUGUGGUCCACAGAGCGCAGAGGGACCAGUAAGCUCAGCCCAUGGAAACACUCCAGCGCUGACAAUCCUCUGUGGAACAAGCUGACAUACAUGUGGAAUUUGACUGGCCAAUAGAAGGCCUACUGAACCCAAACAGCUCUCCCAUGAAGAGGCCAGUAAGUAAGACACCAGAGCAGCAUGUCCCUGUGCGACUCAGAGUUCUAAGGAAUGGAGACAAGAAAAACAUCAGGUCCCUGGUGAUUGGCCCGGAAAUCUCACCUGGAUGGAAAUUACAAAAUGUUAAUGCUGAAAGGAAAGAGAAAAGCCAUGCCAUGAACUAUUCUGAAACAGAAAGAUACCAGAUUGAAUUUCACCAUCUUUUGGAGAGGUGCACCAAAGUUUUGAAUUUACCUUCUGCUGCUCGGAGACUUUUCAGUGAAAAAGGGAAGGAACUUUUUUCCCUGGAAGACCUACAGAGAGAUGAACUGGUAUAUGUUUCAUGUGGAGAACACUGGAUCAAUCCUGACCUCUCCAUUGCUCAACAGAAAAAGCAAGUCUUCCUAAGGAGCCUUGAGUUAGACAUUUCCAAGAUUAAAACCUUUUGCAGCAUGCACAAGGUGGAAGCUCUUGUUUUAGAAGUUCAAAGUGACCUUGCGUGCGGGGGCAAGCUUGCCGUGAAUAAACCUGCAGCAGAUUUUGAAGAGGAGAAACAAGGGAAAGAACCAAAGGGGAGGCAGCUGGGAAAUGCUGCUUUAAUAACAGGGGAUGCUCCCAGAGAGACUCUAGAUUCACAUGCGAGAGCCCAUCUCCGCAUGGAAGCCUGUCGCAGGACGCUCAAGUAUGCUUGGCAAGACCCUUCGUACAGCCUUGCUGCUGAUGGCAGCCUUCCAAAGAAAGCAGAGAAAGAGCCCUUUGAAAAUGUGCAGCCCCCAAAGAAACACAGCCAUUUCUCAAAGCAAAGCAGAUCACGGAAGCUGUGUCAUCAGGAGUUUGAAUACAGAGAUGGUCAAAUCAUUAGUCUCGCUGCUCCUCAGCUGGUCCUGGGAGUACAAGGCCCCAAACCCCGUUCAGGCACAGAGGUCAUUUUGGUGGAAAAGAAAUCUGAUGAAAGUCACCAACACUGGACACACAAGACAGAUGGCAGGACCUUUCAUCUGGUGAGUAACCCAGACCUCGUACUGGCAGUGUCUAUGACCAAAGCUAAAAGUGAAGCCUGUGGCUAUCCAGUUAUCAUUCAGAAAUAUAAACCAUACAGCAAUGGGGCUGCCAAUCAGAAGUGGGAUUACAUGGAAAAGGAGAGAGCAUUCACAGCCUUCCACAGCACAGCCCUGGACAAGCAAAUCACCGCGGCUAAUUCUUCUGGCCUUUGCACGUCUUCUGUCACUAAAGAAAACAUCGAACAACCUGGAUACUCUUAUAUCUCACCCGAUGGAAAGAGAAAACUCAUGCUCUGCCUGGCUUGCGGAAGGUCCCUGAGGGCAAAACUGGAGCUGAAGGAGCUGCUUCCCAGGGCUUCAUUCCUCUGUGUUUCAGGCUCGGAGCAGAAGUUCGAGCUACCCGGGCCUUUCAAGGUCAUCAGUGUUGCCAAGGCUGAUUUAUCUUCUUCCGAAGCUGAAGACACUCUAAGAUAUUAUGAAAAGCGUCUGUCAUCUUUACGGAUGAAGACACGAGCAUGCAGUGCAUCUCACGUUGGUGUGGCAGCUUCGUGCCAGAAGGCGGUGAAAAUCAUCGCAUACAAAAAUGGGAAUGGAUAUCGGAAUGGGAAGUUGAUUGUGGCUGGAACAUUCCAUGGGCUUCUUGCAGAGUGCACAGAACGACUUCAGCUCACCAGAUCGGCUUCCAAAAUCUACACCAGAGAUGGAACUACCAUCCUCACCUUGCAUGGCUUGGUUCUGUGGGCUAUAAGAGAAAAACUUACCCAGAGAGACCCUAGCGGGCAAGAGAAAAGCACGGAGUCUGUUGGGACAGAAGACAUAGCUGUUCAAAAUACAGAAGAAAGCUCAGGAAGGAGAACGGAGAGCAGAUUGGAUUUUGUGGAGGGCAUAGAUAAGUCCCUGCUUGCUCAUGUCCUCAGAAGCCCUGUUGCUGUGUGGGUGUCUUGUGGUGAGCCGUUUCUGCCUCUAAAUGCUCCAUGGAAAUCAGAAAAAUUAAAGAAACAAAACUGGCUGAAGAGGGCCAAAGGUUUGGCUGAAUUGGACACCAUGAAACACAAGGUGCGACAGUUGAAAGGGCGGCGAGUAGCAGCCUGUCAGCCAGCCGUGAUGGUCCCCACCGGAAGCCCUCUGCAGCCAGUAGUAGUUGAAGGAGGCUGGACUGAGCAGACUCAAGAGGAAACAAAGCUCGUGGAACUGAUAAGACAGACAGAGGCACACCUUUCUGAAGGCCAAGAACUACAGUCCAGGCGCUCUCUGACGGAAGCUCAACGUGCAGCAGAGAGUCAGCACAGCCUGUACCAGGCUCCCCGAGUGAAACGAGUGUGGGCUUACCAGAAUGGAGGCAGACCCGAGGAUGGCACGUAUGUCUGUGCCAGUGCUUUUCCAGAGUUGCUGGAUGAUUGCACGGCUCGUCUGAAAAUGUCCCACCCAGCCAAAACCCUUUAUACCUCAAAUGGGGAGCUCAUUCAGUCAUGGGACGAAAUAGAGAAGGGUAUGGCUGUCUGCGUGUCCGCAGGACAUGGCUUUAUAACCUCCAAAGAAAAAAAGAAAAUGAUGGAAGUGAAAGCAAAUUAUGUCAGGAUCCGAAGGCAGCAGGGCCCUGAGGCAACAGACAUUGUGGUGUUUCCAUCCAGGCAGCUACUGUCUCUCCUGCAGCUUCCCAGCUGACUUCAACCAGAACCUCUUACCUUUUGCUGGAUUUUACUCAUAGAGUUGAUUGUGCAUUCUCAUAAGCUCCUAUCAUAUCAUGUGCCAUGAUAAUUCUCUGUCUCUCUUAACUUGUACACAGUCUCUUUUGUACUCUGCAGUGGGAUUUGAACCUAGUAGUUGACUGUAUACUGAGCAUUGUGCUUGUGAGCUGUCCCCCCAGCUCUCUUAAACAAUCACUUUUUUUAAAGAUUAGUAGUUUCCACAUUUUAUGUGAAGUAACAUUGGAUUCCUCAUUCCUGUUCCUGGAAAGGCAACAAACUUAGACAAAUAAUACAAGUAAGAUGGUCGUCUUAGAUGAACAUUAUUUGAGAAAGUAAACCACUAGUUAUUGAAACCUAACCCUCAAGUGACUGGAGGCCCCAGGAAGUUUAGAGGUCUGCUGGGGUGGGAACAUCCUGGAGACAUGGGGGGACAGACAGGGAGGAGGUAUGGGAUGUGGAACUGUUGGGGGAAGGAGGUGGGAGAGGAAUAAAAUCUGGAGUGUAAAAAUAAAUAAAUAAAUAAAAUUUUAAAAAAGCAAAUGUUCAAUAAAAAAAGUAACUUAAAGGGAUCAAGGAAUUUACAUAUAUGGAUGUGUGUGUGUGUUUGUGUGUAUGUUUUUGUGUGUGUAUGUGUGUGUGUAUGUAUGUGUGUAUGUGCAUGUGUGUGUUUGUGUGU
Molecule: RNA transcript, 6098 nt
Organism: Rattus norvegicus (Norway rat)
Lineage: Eukaryota; Metazoa; Chordata; Mammalia; Rodentia; Muridae
Gene: Dcdc1-ps1
Gene name: doublecortin domain containing 1, pseudogene 1
Exons: 40
Source: RefSeq, marked validated